RNAcentral lists this ribosomal RNA (220 nucleotides) under Escherichia coli. RNAcentral describes it as "partial 16S ribosomal RNA". It matches the Rfam family "Bacterial small subunit ribosomal RNA", at positions 1 to 217 of the family's 1533-position model. The record is from RNAcentral. Lineage: Bacteria; Pseudomonadati; Pseudomonadota; Gammaproteobacteria; Enterobacterales; Enterobacteriaceae.
AAAUUGAAGAGUUUGAUCAUGGCUCAGAUUGAACGCUGGCGGCAGGCCUAACACAUGCAAGUCGAACGGUAACAGGAAGCAACUUGCUGCUUCGCUGACGAGUGGCGGACGGGUGAGUAAUGUCUGGGAAACUGCCUGAUGGAGGGGGAUAACUACUGGAAACGGUAGCUAAUACCGCAUAACGUCGCAAGACCAAAGAGGGGGACCUUCGGGCCUCUUG